GGCUCCAUACUGUAGCAGUUUACACAUUUGCUUGGCAUGUGAAAGUUCACUGGUUCAAUUCCAGUUGGAAACA
RNAcentral lists this transfer RNA (73 nucleotides) under Oreochromis niloticus (Nile tilapia). It matches the Rfam family "tRNA". From Rfam's summary of the family: Transfer RNA (tRNA) molecules are approximately 80 nucleotides in length. The record is from Rfam by way of RNAcentral. Lineage: Eukaryota; Metazoa; Chordata; Actinopteri; Cichliformes; Cichlidae. RNAcentral also lists the same sequence under 1 other name.